Small nucleolar RNA from Mesoplodon densirostris (Blainville's beaked whale), 135 nucleotides. RefSeq annotates it as small nucleolar RNA SNORA70. The transcript has a single exon. The record is from RefSeq and is a predicted model, not a curated record. NCBI's taxonomy places the organism in Eukaryota, Metazoa, Chordata, Mammalia, Artiodactyla, Ziphiidae.
UUUCAGCCAGUUAAGCCAACUGUGCUCUUUUCCCCGUGGGGGCCCAGUGUACAAUGGCUGCAAACAGCAGCCUCCUCAGUGGUAUGUGCAGCCUGUUGCCUGUACGGGUUGCCCUCAGGGACACUGGAUUCGGCC